GAUGUUCUGGUUAGGUUGCUCCUGAGCCUGGCCAAGCUAGCCAUCCAUGAGUCAGGGCGCCAGGCGGAGGAGGGCUCCGCUCGAGCCGGUUCCCUGCCCCUUUUCCGUGGUGACGUCCGUGCCCGGGUGUCAUUGGAGAGGGAAUACGUGCUGUCUAUGGUAACCUUGAGGGAUUUUCGGGACUGCUGGGCACCGCGGGAAAGGAAUGCCUCCACAAUAA
Molecule: long non-coding RNA, 220 nt
Organism: Amblyraja radiata (thorny skate)
Lineage: Eukaryota; Metazoa; Chordata; Chondrichthyes; Rajiformes; Rajidae
Exons: 3
Source: RefSeq, a predicted model, not a curated record